GGUGCGGUCAGAGCCCUUCGGGGUACACGAGCGGCGAACGGGUGAGUAACACGUGGGUGAUCUGCCUCGUACUUCGGGAUAAGCCUGGGAAACUGGGUCUAAUACCGGAUAUGACCUUCGGAUGCAUGUCUGGGGGUGGAAAGAUUUAUCGGUACGAGAUGGGCCCGCGGCCUAUCAGCUUGUUGGUGGGGUAAUGGCCUACCAAGGCGACGACGGGUAGCCGGCCUGAGAGGGCGACCGGCCACACUGGGACUGAGACACGGCCCAGACUCCUACGGGAGGCAGCAGUGGGGAAUAUUGCACAAUGGGCGAAAGCCUGAUGCAGCGACGCCGCGUGAGGGAUGACGGCCUUCGGGUUGUAAACCUCUUUCGACAGGGACGAAGCGCAAGUGACGGUACCUGUAGAAGAAGCACCGGCCAACUACGUGCCAGCAGCCGCGGUAAUACGUAGGGUGCGAGCGUUGUCCGGAAUUACUGGGCGUAAAGAGCUUGUAGGCGGUUCGUCGCGUCGUUCGUGAAAACUUGGGGCUCAACCCCAAGCUUGCGGGCGAUACGGGCGGACUAGAGUACUUCAGGGGAGACUGGAAUUCCUGGUGUAGCGGUGAAAUGCGCAGAUAUCAGGAGGAACACCGGUGGCGAAGGCGGGUCUCUGGGGAAGUAACUGACGCUGAGAAGCGAAAGCGUGGGUAGCGAACAGGAUUAGAUACCCUGGGUAGUCCACGCCGUAAACGGUGGGGUACUAGGUGUGGGUUUU
Molecule: ribosomal RNA, 754 nt
Filed under: Nocardia sp. triB269-1
Lineage: Bacteria; Bacillati; Actinomycetota; Actinomycetes; Mycobacteriales; Nocardiaceae
Description: bacterial SSU rRNA
Rfam family: Bacterial small subunit ribosomal RNA
Source: RNAcentral